RNAcentral lists this long non-coding RNA (717 nucleotides) under Marmota monax (woodchuck). The record is from RNAcentral. Lineage: Eukaryota; Metazoa; Chordata; Mammalia; Rodentia; Sciuridae.
CAGAGCCAUCUGCACAGCCGCUCAGUGAAGUGUGUUUGGGGAAAUGAACCCCCAGCCCAGAAUGGGAGAGGUAGGGCAGUCCAAAAAAGCUGGAGGUAUAUGCUCUUUCCAUGGGAACUCCAUAGUUUGACUCUUAACACAGUCUUUCUUCAUGAAUCAGGGUUGUAUUGUCACAUAAUAUACAGGUCACCAAUUAAAUUUGAAUUUCAGCCAAAUAGUGAAUAUAUUUUUUGUGUGUGUUGAAAAAUAUGAUAACCCUACUCCAGAGCAAAUUUGGCAAUAUCUGGAACAUUCUGGUUUUCACAGCUGGUAAUGCCCCUGGCAUCCUGCAGCAAGAGAUCAGUCACGGGGCUUAAAACAUCCUGCACUGCCCAGGACUCUUCCCAUCCCAACCACAUUAUCAACAGGGCUAUCCAGCCCAGAAUGACAUGCAUUUUGAAGUGAACUGUCACAUGAGGUCAGGUGUUGAAUAUUCCACCUGUGGCAUUAAGUUGACAUCAAAAGGUUUUAGAUUUUGGAUUUGUGGAUUACUGAUGCUUAACCUGCAAUGGUAAAAUUGGAAAGUCUGCUGUCAUCUGAUGCUAAUGUACCCCAUGCCCACUAUGCCCCUUCUAGAUAGUCUUGUGUGCACAUCCUCUUCUUAAGUAACUGAUUGUCACUUCUUUUAAAUUUUUUAAUAUGCAUGUUUAGGGUUCAGCAGAAAUGUGGGGGCUGUAU